AACGAACGCUGGCGGCAGGCUUAACACAUGCAAGUCGAACGGAUCCUUCGGGAUUAGUGGCAGACGGGUGAGUAACGCGUGGGAACGUACCCUUUGCUACGGAAUAACUCCGGGAAACUUGAGCUAAUACCGUAUGUGCCCUACGGGGGAAAGAUUUAUCGGCAAAGGAUCGGCCCGCGUUGGAUUAGCUAGUUGGUGGGGUAAUGGCCUACCAAGGCGACGAUCCAUAGCUGGUCUGAGAGGAUGAUCAGCCACACUGGGACUGAGACACGGCCCAGACUCCUACGGGAGGCAGCAGUGGGGAAAAUUGGACAAUGGGCGCAAGCCUGAUCCAGCCAGGCCGGGUGAGUGAUGAAGGUCUUAGGAUUGAAAGGCUCUUUAACCGGGGAGGAUAAUAACGGAACGCGGAGAAGAGGCCCCGCCUACCUUCGU
RNAcentral lists this ribosomal RNA (432 nucleotides) under uncultured bacterium. RNAcentral's name for it is "partial 16S ribosomal RNA". It matches the Rfam family "Bacterial small subunit ribosomal RNA", at positions 29 to 506 of the family's 1533-position model. The record is from RNAcentral.